GCGCCAAUAGCUCAAUGGCAGAGCAACUGACUCUUAAUCAGUGGGUUGUGGGUUCGAGUCCCUCUUGGCGCA
Molecule: transfer RNA, 72 nt
Filed under: Halosaccharopolyspora lacisalsi
Lineage: Bacteria; Bacillati; Actinomycetota; Actinomycetes; Pseudonocardiales; Pseudonocardiaceae
Description: Saccharopolyspora lacisalsi tRNA
Rfam family: tRNA
About the family: Transfer RNA (tRNA) molecules are approximately 80 nucleotides in length.
Source: Rfam by way of RNAcentral